CGGCGUGCCUAACACAUGCAAGUCGAACGAGAAAGCGGGCUUCGGCCCGUGAGUACAGUGGCAGACGGGUGAGUAACACGUGGGUAACCUGCCCGAAGGUCGGGGGACAACUCUCCGAAACGGGGGGCUAAUACCGCAUAACAUCUCGAGGUCUUCGGACCAUGAGAUCAAAGUAGGCCUCUGAUUCAAGCUUACGCCAUCGGAUGGACCCGCGUCCCAUUAGUUUGUUGGUGAGGUAACGGCUCACCAAGACCGCGAUGGGUAGCCGGCCUGAGAGGGUGAUCGGCCACACUGGAACUGAGACACGGUCCAGACUCCUACGGGAGGCAGCAGUGAGGAAUUUUGCGCAAUGGGCGAAAGCCUGACGCAGCGACGCCGCGUGGAGGAAGAAGGUCCUCGGAUCGUAAACUCCUGUCAAGAGGGACGAAGUGUCGUGCGGUUAAUACCCGUACGGCUUGACGGUACCUCUGAAGGAAGCCCCGGCUAACUCCGUG
This 494-nucleotide ribosomal RNA is filed under the name uncultured bacterium. RNAcentral describes it as "bacterial SSU rRNA". It matches the Rfam family "Bacterial small subunit ribosomal RNA", at positions 40 to 507 of the family's 1533-position model. The record is from RNAcentral.